RNAcentral lists this ribosomal RNA (417 nucleotides) under Theileria cervi. RNAcentral's name for it is "SSU rRNA". It matches the Rfam family "Eukaryotic small subunit ribosomal RNA", at positions 469 to 923 of the family's 1831-position model. The record is from RNAcentral. Lineage: Eukaryota; Apicomplexa; Aconoidasida; Piroplasmida; Theileriidae.
GACAAGAAAUAACAAUACAGGGCUUAAUGUCUUGUAAUUGGAAUGAUGGGAAUUUAAACCUCUUCCAGAGUAUCAAUUGGAGGGCAAGUCUGGUGCCAGCAGCCGCGGUAAUUCCAGCUCCAAUAGCGUAUAUUAAAAUUGUUGCAGUUAAAAAGCUCGUAGUUGAAUUUCUGCUGCAUUGCAUUUGCUCCUUGACGAGUGUCUGUAUUGCGGCUUAUUUCGGAUUAUGCUUGCAUUUUCCGGAUGUUUACUUUGAGAAAAUUAGAGUGCUCAAAGCAGGCUUUUGCCUUGAAUAGUUUAGCAUGGAAUAAUAAAGUAGGACUUUGGUUCUAUUUUGUUGGUUUUAGGUACCAAAGUAAUGGUUAAUAGGAACAGUUGGGGGCAUUCGUAUUUAACUGUCAGAGGUGAAAUUCUUAG